This 1517-nucleotide ribosomal RNA is filed under the name Petaurus australis (yellow-bellied glider). Its description in RNAcentral is "16S ribosomal RNA". It matches the Rfam family "Bacterial large subunit ribosomal RNA", at positions 449 to 2925 of the family's 2925-position model. Lineage: Eukaryota; Metazoa; Chordata; Mammalia; Diprotodontia; Petauridae. The record is from RNAcentral.
CAAAACAUUUACUAGCCCAAGUAUAGGUGAUAGAAAAGACACAACGAGCGCAAUAGUUGUAAGUACCGCAAGGGAAAAAUGAAAGACCAAUUUAAAGCACUAAAAAGCAAAGACUAAGCCUUAUACCUUUCGCAUAAUGAUUUAGCCAGAAACCACGGACCAAAAGCAUUAAGCCCGCCACCCCGAAAUCAAGUGAGCUACUACAAAAUAGCACCCAGAGCCAACUCUUCUAUGUAGCAAAAUAGUGAGAAAAUUUUAUAGUAGUGGUGAAAAGCCUACCGAACUUGAAGAUAGCUGGUUAUCCAAAACACGAAUUUUAGUUCAACUUUAAAUUUAAUAAAAGUACUACUAAACUCAACUUAAAUUUAAAAGCUAAUCAAAAGGGGUACAACCCUUUUGACCUAAGUAGACAAACUUCCUUAGAGGACAAUGACACAUAAACAUACAUUGUAGGCCUAAAAGCAGCCAUCAAUUAAGAUAGCGUUAAAGCUCAAACCUUAAAACAAAUUUAAUUCCUAAAAUUACACCAAAAUCCCUAAUAUCUAUUAUUGGAUGACUCUAUAAAUCUAUAGAAGACAUACUGCUAAAAUUAGUAACAAGAAAAUUUUCUCCUAGCACAAGCCUAAAUUAGCAACGGAACUCCCACUAACAAUUAACAAAACAAUAAAAAAAACUAUUAACUAGACCCAUAUGACAUCCAUUGUUAACCCAACACAGGAGUGCAUACCAAGGAAAGAUUAAACAGAAUAAAAGGAACUCGGCAAACUUUAACCCCGCCUGUUUACCAAAAACAUCACCUCUAGCAUGACAAAUAUUAGAGGCAACGCCUGCCCAGUGAGAAUAACUUCAACGGCCGCGGUAUCCUGACCGUGCAAAGGUAGCAUAAUCACUUGUCCCUUAAAUAGGGACUAGUAUGAAUGGCAUCACGAGGGUUAGACUGUCUCUUAUUCCCAAUCAGUGAAAUUGACCUCCCCGUGCAGAGGCAGGGAUUAACCUACAAGACGAGAAGACCCUGUGGAGCUUAAAAUCAAUAACUUAUAGUCAACUAGAUUAAACCAUAAAUGGACAAACAAACGACUCUUUAAGUUAUGACUUUUGGUUGGGGUGACCUCGGAGCACAAAACAACCUCCGAACAACAUUACCAAGAUUAACACAUCUAAGUGUAACAAACCUGCAAUUGACCCAAACAUUGAUCAACGGACCAAGUUACCCCAGGGAUAACAGCGCAAUCCUAUUUAAGAGCCCAUAUCAACAAUUAGGGUUUACGACCUCGAUGUUGGAUCAGGACAUCCAAAUGGUGCAACCGCUAUUAAAGGUUCGUUUGUUCAACGAUUAAAGUCCUACGUGAUCUGAGUUCAGACCGGAGAAAUCCAGGUCGGUUUCUAUCUGUAUAUUUAUUUCUCCCAGUACGAAAGGACAAGAGAAAUAAGGCCAACAUAGCCUACAAGCCUUAAUAAUAAGACAUGAAUACAUCUAAAUAUCCUACUACAACAAUUAAAUGCUCUAGAAAAGAGUC